GAGGAUGGAAGUUUAAUAAAACAAAAAUUCCACCCCCUAUUUUCUUUUCAUCCACCAUUCGAUCCUCCUCUCCUCCAAUGGAGACUUCUAGGGUUUAUUGCUCGAUCAAAAUUACAGCCAAUUCUCGGCUGUUUUUUUUCAUCGGAUUUUAUAGUGGUUUUGCUCCCCAUCGCGAGUUAUUAUGGUUUCCAGGUUCAAUUUCAUCCGAUUAUUCUUAUUUUAUACCUGAUUGAACUCCUAGGGUGUUAUCCGAGGUCGUUUUGGGUUUGCAGGCGCCAUGGGCAGGGCCUCGAGCCCUUUGUCAUCUUGUGCACUUCCCAAUGAAACAAACCUUUGGAGGAAUUUCCUAGGAAGGUUCUCGGGUUGGUACGGUUUCAAGGGAUUCUAUCCUACUUUGUACCGUUGAAAUGUAUUGAUUUUUGUCUUAUUAGUGGCUAAUCGUACUAUCCUAGUAUUUCCGAUUUUUUGCUGAAUUUUAUUUGGAUUUUUAGGGUACAAUCCGUCAGAUUUUUUGUUAUGUUGUGUGAUUUGUACAAAUUAUGAUAGGUUAUAGUACUAUUAGUACCAAUUUGUUGAGAAAUUGGUUUGCCUUUUAUUGAAUUUGAAUUUGUUUGAUUUAGGGUUUAAGAGUUAGAGGGAAAUUCUGUUGGAUUUUGGUUUUUACCUCUUUUGUCCCUAAGCCCUAUUACUAAUACUAUACAUAGAAGGUCUUAUGACCAUUGAAAGGACCCCGACUUUUUUCUGGAAAAAAAAAAACCUAGAGCAUUAGAAAUCCUACAAUGUCUUUAAACUUUCCUAUCAAUAUGCUACACUAAUAUACCUAAAAUACUACUAUACUAUAUAAGAAUACUACAAAACGACUUACACAACUCUUGGAAUAUCAAAAUUACACAAAAAUUACAAAAACAAGGUUGCUUUAAGGUUUCUUUGGUUGUUGGCAUGAAAUGUUGAUCCAAUCCCUACCUUUGAUCCUUAGGUUGCCCCAACAAAAGAUCCAGUCCCCAGUACCAGCAAAGCUCGUGACUAACCGACUGCUCGCUAGAGCCUUUGCUGAAAGAUCGGGGUGACCACCAUGGUUUUGGGCAGCUCCAGACUCUCCUCUAUUAUUUACCUUCUGUCUUUCUUUAUUCCAAACAGUUCUAUUUAUGUUUUUUCAGACUAUUGUACUCCUUAGUAGUCCUUAUGUUUGGUGACAUCAGAUUUUGGGAAGAUUUAUAAUAACUUCUAAGUAUUUCUAUUUAAGAUUGUUUAUGACUUGAAA
This is a long non-coding RNA of Lycium barbarum (goji berry), 1261 nucleotides long. RefSeq lists it as uncharacterized. NCBI's taxonomy places the organism in Eukaryota, Viridiplantae, Streptophyta, Magnoliopsida, Solanales, Solanaceae. The transcript has 2 exons. The record is from RefSeq and is a predicted model, not a curated record.